CAGGCAAAGACCCUGGAUAACAGCUGAAAUGCUGGUUUUGGUUUUUGUUUUUUUAUUUUACGAGUGGACACAAUUCUCACCUGAGUCCUGUUAGUCUUGUUAAAAUCAGUCAGAUGGAGAGAGGGGGUUGGGGGAAGUAGGGGCUCGCUAUAAUUUUAAUUUUGUGGUCUGUCUGGGACACACCUCAAAAUGACAAACCCUGGCCCCCUACCUGUUGGGAUGUCGCCUCAGUCUGAAAACUUUCUGCUCCUCUUUGGUUUGUUUGCAAACGUCGAACUGCCAAGAGUUCUGAGCUCCUUGGGUUGGGGAAAGGCACCUGGGCCACCGGGUACUUCAUGCACCCACCUGGCCCUGAGGGGCGGCGGGAGCUGACUUUCCUUGAGCACCAGACGCCCCGCACGGGUCCAGCCUUCCAGGUCGCCCUCCGGCCUCCGGGCUGCCCUGCGCCCCCGGCUAUCUGCAGCUCACCGCGCCAGGCCCCGGGCCCAGCGUCCUGGACGGGCCCAGAGAAAGCAGAGAAGCGGCCACGUGGCGCUAUGGCGGUCACUACCGGGAAUUAACCACGGCCACCCUCUCAGAGCGCCGGGCGCGGGCUCAGGGACACGCCGGCUACCACCUGAGCCGGGUAAGGGGAGCCCGAAACCUGCGGGCACCGCGGUAAUCCACUAUGGAGGCGUAAAGGGGGACUCGUUGGGGUCCGCGAGGGGGUGGCAGGGGGAGGGGCCCGGAGGGAGGAGCUCCCGGGGAGGGGGCCGCGGAGGGCCGGGGUCCCGGGGCUUGGGGAGCUGGGUUGGCUUGGAGACCCGGGUACGCGGCGGUGCAGGGCGGGGUUCCCGGAGGGGGCGGGGCCCCGGGCGGCGCGGGGGCGGGGCGGGGGCGGGCACAGCGAGGGGCGGGGCGCGGGCCGGGAGCGGCGGGCAGGCCGGGCAUGGCGUCCAUGGCGGCGGCGAUCGCGGCCUCGCGCUCGGCGGUCAUGAGCGGGAACCGGCCUCUGGACG
This 998-nucleotide small RNA is filed under the name Pan troglodytes (chimpanzee). RNAcentral describes it as "retained intron". The record is from RNAcentral. Lineage: Eukaryota; Metazoa; Chordata; Mammalia; Primates; Hominidae.